Phacochoerus africanus (Common warthog) is the source of this 646-nucleotide non-coding RNA. The record is from the annotation of a RefSeq genome assembly. Lineage: Eukaryota; Metazoa; Chordata; Mammalia; Artiodactyla; Suidae.
CCUGCCUCAGCCAUGAGCUUCGGGGUGCUCUGCCCUCUGGUCCUCUGUCUCCUGGGAGCAGUCUCUGUGGACACUGGAGUUACUCAAACACCCAGAUACCUGGUCCUGGGAACGAGAGAUAAGAGAUCUUUGAAUUGUGAACAAGAUAUGGGACACAGUUUUAUGUAUUGGUAUAAACAGAGUGCUCAGAACCCACCGGAGCUCAUGUUCACCUGUAACUUCAAGGACCUCGCUAAAAAUGAGACUGUUCCGAGUCGCUUCAGGCUUGAUUGUCCAGCGAGCUCCCCCCUUUACCUGCACGUGGACGCCCUGAAACCAGAAGACUCGGCCGUGUAUCUCUGCGCCAGCAGUAGAGACACAGCCCUGCAGGGCCAGCCGCUUCCUCUGCACAAACCUCGAGCACCCAGCCAGGAGGCUGUGGGGCCAACCAAGGCUUGGUUCCCCAUUUCCUGGAAGACCCUCAAUGGAAAGCUCAGACCCUGAGACUGCCUGCGGGCUCAUGGCCAUGGCUCUUCUGAGUUCCAUCACAGUCACCAGCCACCUGUCCUGAGCAAGGCUGGGCCUGCAGCUGAAUGUAGGACAAUGUUCAAGUCUAUCCCACGCAUUUUCCAGUGGGCCGGGCCCCCUGGGAAGUCUUUCAGAAGAC